AAAAUAACGAGCGCGAAGCGCGAGUGAUUUUUCCUGAAAAACUUGACGACUUUAUUUGUUUGCAGGGAACCUUGAGGGAAAUGCCAGAUAAUUUUGAAGCUCGUGUGGUAUUCGGGGGAUUAUUUUUCCGUCCCAAAUGUCGGCCACAACCUGUCAGUUUGACGUAGCAACGACCAGAGAAAAUAUUCAAAAAAAAUUAUCAGUAUUAGGCCGGCAGCACACAUCCGGUUUCCGGAUACGGUUUCCUGAUCAGGAAUUAAGAUUCGGGAUUCCGUGUCACUAGCGCACACAUUCGGUUUUUUUCAUUCUGAAUUUACAUGGCCAAACGCACGGAGAAAAUUUUAAACCGAAUGUCAGGUUUU
Long non-coding RNA from Helicoverpa armigera (cotton bollworm), 362 nucleotides. RefSeq lists it as uncharacterized. The record is from RefSeq and is a predicted model, not a curated record. NCBI's taxonomy places the organism in Eukaryota, Metazoa, Arthropoda, Insecta, Lepidoptera, Noctuidae. The transcript has 2 exons.